Molecule: long non-coding RNA, 460 nt
Organism: Tarenaya hassleriana
Lineage: Eukaryota; Viridiplantae; Streptophyta; Magnoliopsida; Brassicales; Cleomaceae
Exons: 3
Source: RefSeq, a predicted model, not a curated record
AUUAUAGCUCUCCUGCAAUGUGGACAGUGAGUGGUGUUAAAAGAGACAGAACAAAAUCGAUUGCUUGGAGCAUAUUAUUCGGCACACAGAGACAGCUGCUGUUUCUCCCCAAUGCGCUCCCAGUAGUUCUCAGUGACAACUCCGUUCUCACCAACCUUGUACCCGGUUCCCAUCCUGUAACGAUGUCUGUGCACGUUUCUGGCCAUUGUUACGGUCUGCACCACAAAGGGUACCCAAGAGAGGGUUCCAUCCAUUAUCACAUCUCUUCCCUCGUUGAGAGCUGUCACUAGUAGCGAUGAUGCUGCAUCUGUUGAUGACUGGUGAACCUGUUCCCAUCCCACCGUUUUCUAUGUCAGCCUUUCACGAAGCAUAUCGACGUGGCCUCUAGAACUCAGGGCCCUGUAGAUCACAUCGGAUUCUUUGAAGGCAUCAGCUUCGAUCACGACUGCAUCUGCUCCUG